UAGAGUUUGAUCCUGGCUCAGGAUGAACGCUAGCUACANGCUUAACACAUGCAAGUCGAGGGGAAACGACAUCGAAAGCUUGCUUUCGAUGGGCGUCGACCGGCGCACGGGUGAGUAACGCGUAUCCAACCUGCCCAUCACUUGGGGAUAACCUUGCGAAAGUAAGACUAAUACCCAAUGACGUCUCUAGAAGACAUCUGAAGGAGAUUAAAGAUUUAUCGGUGAUGGAUGGGGAUGCGUCUGAUUAGCUUGUUGGCGGGGUAACGGCCCACCAAGGCGACGAUCAGUAGGGGUUCUGAGAGGAAGGUCCCCCACAUUGGAACUGAGACACGGUCCAAACUCCUACGGGAGGCAGCAGUGAGGAAUAUUGGUCAAUGGGCGAGAGCCUGAACCAGCCAAGUAGCGUGCAGGAUGACGGCCCUAUGGGUUGUAAACUGCUUUUAUAAGGGAAUAAAGUGAGCCUCGUGAGGCUUUUUGCAUGUACCUUAUGAAUAAGGACCGGCUAAUUCCGUGCCAGCAGCCGCGGUAAUACGGAAGGUCCGGGCGUUAUCCGGAUUUAUUGGGUUUAAAGGGAGCGUAGGCCGGAGAUUAAGCGUGUUGUGAAAUGUAGACGCUCAACGUCUGCACUGCAGCGCGAACUGGUUUCCUUGAGUACGCACAAAGUGGGCGGAAUUCGUGGUGUAGCGGUGAAAUGCUUAGAUAUCACGAAGAACUCCGAUUGCGAAGGCAGCUCACUGGAGCGCAACUGACGCUGAAGCUCGAAAGUGCGGGUAUCGAACAGGAUUAGAUACCCUGGUAGUCCGCACGGUAAACGAUGGAUGCCCGCUGUUGGUCUGAAUAGGUCAGCGGCCAAGCGAAAGCAUUAAGCAUCCCACCUGGGGAGUACGCCGGCAACGGUGAAACU
This 904-nucleotide ribosomal RNA is filed under the name uncultured bacterium. RNAcentral describes it as "bacterial SSU rRNA". It matches the Rfam family "Bacterial small subunit ribosomal RNA", at positions 1 to 901 of the family's 1533-position model. The record is from RNAcentral.